Molecule: transfer RNA, 71 nt
Filed under: Salmo salar (Atlantic salmon)
Lineage: Eukaryota; Metazoa; Chordata; Actinopteri; Salmoniformes; Salmonidae
Rfam family: tRNA
About the family: Transfer RNA (tRNA) molecules are approximately 80 nucleotides in length. Their secondary structure includes four short double-helical elements and three loops (D, anti-codon, and T loops).
Source: Rfam by way of RNAcentral
AUGGGUGGCUCAGUUGGUAGAGCAUGGUGUUUGCAACGCCAGGGUUGUGGGUUCGAUUCCAACGAUCUAUA